Molecule: long non-coding RNA, 5033 nt
Organism: Arvicola amphibius (Eurasian water vole)
Lineage: Eukaryota; Metazoa; Chordata; Mammalia; Rodentia; Cricetidae
Exons: 3
Source: RefSeq, a predicted model, not a curated record
CUGGCCCUGAGGCCGCCGCCGCCCGGACCGCGGGGCCCGUCUGGACCGGCCAGGCGCCCGGGAUUCGCCUCGGCUCGGCCGCACAUGUACAGCUCUUCCCCCAUGAUCUUCACCACUGAUAAAGCAGAAGAAACUGAGGCACGGGGAGAAAGUAGCUGACUGGGAAAAACAGGCCAAGACACCCUCUUUAGAGUCAGUGGCCAUCAGCUUUUUCAGAUGCCGCUCCAGGGCUCCACAUGUAUGAUCCCAGCGCUCCUCUGCACACAGGUGCUCCCAUCACUUUUUGCUGUUUCUCAUUGCCGCUCUCCCAGGUUUGCUAUGUACCCUGCCACUGUCAGUACUUCCUGUCUCCCUGGGUUUGUGCCUCUUCCCUCUUGUCUUUCUGAGUCUUCUUUUUUUUUAAAAAAAGACCCUAUUUGUUAUUAAUUAUUAUUACGUAUACAAUGCUUGGCCUACAUGCCAGAAGAGGGCACCAGAUCCCAUUAUAAAUGGUUGUGAGCUACCAUUCAGUUGCUGGGAAUUGAACUCAGGUCCUCUGGAAGAGCAGUCAGUGCUCUUCACUGCUGAGCCAUCUCUCAGCUCCCUCUGGUUCUGCUUUGUAGGUGUGACGGAGACAGGUGUCAUCUUUUAUAUUGACUGGUUGCUUACUACCAAGGAAAUGCUUAGGAAGGGCUUACUCUCCCCUCAUCUGUCCUGUUCAACCUGGUGGUGAGUUAUCUGGCUGGCAGCCCCCUUUGUUGGCCUCUUCACCACAAUGUGCACUAAGACAAGACACGCCGGUGCUGACCUGCUACGCGAUUGCGGUGGACUCCGAAAGUGCUGUCAUGGGGAAACUGUGCUGAUACGCACAUAAAGUGCUGGAUGCCUGCUCUGCCUUUCUUGUCUAGGCUUACAUACUUACAAUUUUUGCCUGCUUUUUUGUUUCUUGUUUUUGUUUGUUUGUUUUUUCAAGACAAGGUUUCUCUCUCUGUAGCUUUGGAGCCUGUCCUGGAACUAGCUCUUGUAGACCAGGCUGGCCUCGAACUCACAGAGAUCCGCCUGCCUCUGUCUCCCGAGUGCUGGGAUUAAAGGUGUGUACCACUACUGCCCAGAAAUUUUGCCUUUUUUAGGAAGACAAUAUGUUGCUAUGCAGCCCAGGCUGGCUUUGACUUGAAGAUCUUCCUGAGCCUCCGAAGAGCACAUCUGCGGGCACCCGCCAUGCUUGCCUAGGCCUCUACAGAUUCUUUUAGAGGCCUAGGACUCUGGAUCCUGUUGGGUUAUUGACUUAGGUCUGUCCAAGAAGUUUGCCUUCUUUCUUAUCUAAAAUGUUUGUUCUAUAUUAAAACUUCUUCCCCCUACCCCACCUCAUACCCUUUCUUCUAGCUCCUUCCCAUAUGUCUUAGAGACAGAGACUCAGGCAGUAACCAGUCUUUUUUUGAGACUAUGGCAAGACUUCACAGAAUGCACUGUUCUUUCAUUUUGCUUCUUAAAUGGCCUGUGUUCCUGAGCUGAAAACUCCAGCCUCUCUCACUUCUGGGUUCUAUCUUCUGUCUGUCAUCUUCUCUAUUUUAGCCUUUCCUGACAGGCUACCUCCCUGCCCUGCUAGCUGCCUGGCCUGGCCUAUGUCCUUCCAUCAUCCACCUGUCUGUUCGAGUCUCCAUUUGCCUGCAGUCAUGCAUUUUAGAGCACGUGGUAAAUUAUGAGGCACUGUGUUUGUGUAAGGCUUUUCUCUGUCUUCCUCCUCACCUGUUUCCUCCGUUGUCUUCUGCUUCACUCUCUCUUUCUCUCUUCACUUGGCUGUGUUUGCCUACUUCCCACCGCCAUUUGUCUUCUCCAUGCCGGCCUGCUCUCCUACCAUCCUCCGUCUGCCCAGGGCCUGACUCUUUUCCGUGUGCAGGUCCCUCUAUAGUUCUUUCCCCUAUUUGUUCUCUGCCCUUGGGCCUUCUAUCUGUCUCUAGAUGUCUGUCCCCUGCUGUCAGUUUCAGGGUAAGCAUCAGUGCACUCUAUGCUUCCAAAAAUAAGAAAGUUUGAAAUCUUUUGUAACUAAUUUGUAGAAAUUACUUCUUAUUUUUUUAUUUAGAAGAGUGUUCAGGUGAGAACAAGGAAUAUACAUAUAUGCAGUUACCAAAUGUAAACUAGAAGUUGAUGAACCUUCCCAGUGUAAAAUAAAUAACAAGAAAAUGCAUUGAGGAGGCUCCCACACCACUAAUAAGAUUAUUUAAAGGAGAAUCAAGAAAUGUAUCUAAAGCAAUAGCUAUAAAUCUUUCCGAUUAUAAAAGGUCAUAAACUGUUUUGCUAGAGAAAAGACAGCCACUCUUUCAAGGGGACAAAAGCUCCAGCUCCAUGGAAACAAGCUUCAUCGCAGAGCUCUAUGUGCUGGGCUAGGGAGACAGCUCAGGCUGAAACUGCUCGCCCCACAAACAUGGGGACAUGAGCGCCAUCUCCAGCACCCACUUCCAGCUGAUGUACAGAAUAUGUACAUAAGAUAUCAUGUAUGUGUUCAUAGGCCUGUGGGCCCAAGUUAAAAGCCUGACAUAGGAAAGCAGUGAGACUUAGUGAGAGAGCACAGACAAGCCUGUGGACGUGCACAGUGCACACUCUGCAGUCUACGACUUCCAGUCCACGGCGAUAUAAACGUUAGAGACAAUAGUGUAAGGCAUGUAGAUGCUCAGGAUAGUCUAGACAUAGAUUCAGUGAUAAGGUCAUCUAAAUCACUGGUUCCUAAACUGUCCUCUCCUAGAAAAGUCUGUCCUGACUCUGAGAUUUUAUAUAUAAAAAUAUAUGUAUGCUAUAUUUAUAUAAAAUACAUAUAAAUAUAUAUUACAUAUACACGUAUCAGGCUGGCUUCAAAAAGGUCUGCCUGCUUCUAAGUCCUAAGUGCUGGGAUCAAUGGUGGGUGCCACCACACCUGGCCUAACUUGAUCAUUCCUAUGUAGUAUAGCAUAGAAAAAUCACACAGAUUUUCACAGUGCAACCAAAAGCUGAACAUGAUUGUGUUCUUUCUCAGCUGAGAAAACGCCCUCACUAGGCUGGCCUGUGGGCAAGAAUGUGGUGUAUUUUCUCAAUUAAUGAUGGAUGCACAGACCCAGCUCAAGGUGGGCAGUGCCACUACUGUAAGAAAGCAGGUUGAACAAGGAAGGAGUAAGCUCCUGCCCUGUUUGGGUUCCUGCUGACGGCUCAGUGAUGGGCUGUGAUGUGGAACUGGACGAGGGCAGAUUUCCUGCCCAGGUUCUCAUGUAUUUUUAUCACAGCAGUGGAAAAUGGUGUGGAACCCUAACAAAGACAGCAGCAGAUUCUUAUGAUUCAAUCUUUACUGAAUAAGUAUUAAAUUGUGCAUGUUAUAUAAUUCCAUCCAUGUCGUAAAAUAUUACAAGGGUUAGUAAUGAUUUUCAUAGAAAUAACAUUAUUUUGUUUUCUGUAUAUUUAUAUUCCUCUCCCUAGAAUUUGCUCUGGAGUACAUACACUAUGAUGAAAAAUAAGACUUAGUUGAGAGAGACACUGACUGAUUGACUAGUGGUCAUGAAGCUUGGUAGUCUCACAUAGAGAACGACCUGGAAGGACUGGGACACAGCUCAGUGCUAGAACACUGGGUUCAGUACCAAGAGCAGAUCACAUAGCUCAGAGAAGCUUUCAUGUGUGUGCAGUGUUGGAAAUUAAGCCCAGAACUUCUGCAUGCUAGCCAGUGGCUUUCCACUGAGCUACAACCCCAUAGGAGGAUCUAAUUUUAGAUCCAGGGUGCUUUCCAAAUUCCCCAGUCUUGUAUUAAAAGCCUGCAUGCCUUGGAGGCUCCCGCAGCCUUGCUCAGAUCUCUGCCUUCUCUCCCCUUAAGGUUAGUUUUUGAGGGGCCCGGGAGAUGGCUCAGUGGGUACUUGCAGCCAUCCCUAAAGGCCUAGGCUUGAUUCCCAGGAUCCACACUGUAGGCAAGAACCAACUCCUUCAGGUGUCCUCUGGUCUCCACAUGUUCUCAUGUACCCGCCCGCCAGUGUGCUGUGCCCCUGUGUUCUCAUGUACCCGCCUGCCACUGUGCUGUGCCCAUGAAAUAAUCCUUUUUUAACUCCUAAUUUUCCCCUAACUCGCCCCACUUUCACUUCACCUCGUUCAUCUGGCUUGAAUUCCCAUAGUAAUUCAUUUCAGUCAGUCUUUACCUCUGCCAGUGUGCCAGCUCUUGUUCACCUUCCUGCAAGCCACUAUCCUUGGUCACUGUUUACCACCAAGGUGCAAAGUGCUGCAGUCCACGUGACUGUCAGACUAAGUCCGUCCUCAGGAAUGUUUUCCUGAUCAGCUUCCUUUGCGAGUCAGCUUCUCUAUAGUGGCUUUCUGGUUUUUGUUUGUUUUUAAUGCUUUAAUUUUAAUAAUGUGUAUGUCUGUGUGCACAUUAGUGGAAGGGCCUGCAGAGACCAGAGGCAUUGUGACCUCUGGAGCUGCGUUGAGGUGACUGUGGGCCACCAGUGUGGUGCUGGGAACUGAACUGAGUCCUCUCCAACAGCAGUGUGUGCUAUUAAUCACUCAGCCACAGUGAAACCAUCCUCAAAUCCAUUCCUUCGAGUGAGUCUGUCCACUUGCAGAGGACAGAAUGAAGGAGCAUGGACAGGAAGAAAGAGGAGGACAGACCCUGACAGAGUGGUGCACACCUGUGAUCCUGUACUUCGGAAGGAAGAGCAGGAAGAACAGGAAUGAAAGGCCAUCCAGAGCUCUCCAGAAAAACUGAGGCCAACCUGGAGCUAUGUAGACCCUGCCUUAAAAAAAAGAAGAGGUGGAGGAGGAGAGAAGGACAGAUAGGGAUGGAGUUAAACAUGAAGAAUUAGAGCCUGUUUUCAGGAGACUAGUGAGAGGGUUCAGUCUAAAUUGUAGAGCAAGACCAUUUCAAAGAGUAGGUUUGGCAUUAAUGUCUCAAAGGAGCUCUCUUCCUAUUGAAGAUACGUUAUUAUCAAUAUGUUAAAGUGUUUAAGCCAGGCUUGAUGGCACACACCUUUAAUUCUAGUACUCAGGAGGCAAUGUAGACAGAACUCAGGGAGUUUGAGGCCAGCCUGGUCUACAUGGCCACCUGCAGGCCA